RNAcentral lists this ribosomal RNA (467 nucleotides) under uncultured bacterium. RNAcentral describes it as "partial 16S ribosomal RNA". It matches the Rfam family "Bacterial small subunit ribosomal RNA", at positions 29 to 507 of the family's 1533-position model. The record is from RNAcentral.
ACGAACGCUGGCGGCGUGCUUCACACCUGCAAGUCGCACGGAAAGGCCCUGCUUUUGUGGGGUGCUCGAGUGGCGAACGGGUGAGUAACACGUGAGUAACCUGCCCUUGACUUUGGGAUAACUUCAGGAAACUGGGGCUAAUACCGGAUAGGAGCUCCUGCUGCAUGGUGGGGGUUGGAAAGUUUCGGCGGUUGGGGAUGGACUCGCGGCUUAUCAGCUUGUUGGUGGGGUAGUGGUUUACCAAGGCUUUGACGGGUAGCCGGCCUGAGAGGGUGACCGGCCACAUUGGGACUGAGAUACGGCCCAGACUCCUACGGGAGGCAGCAGUGGGGAAUAUUGCACAAUGGGCGGAAGCCUGAUGCAGCAACGCCGCGUGCGGGAUGACGGCCUUCGGGUUGUAAACCGCUUUCGCCUGUGACGAAGCGUGAGUGACGGUAAUGGGUAAAGAAGCACCGGCUAACUACGUG